Molecule: ribosomal RNA, 383 nt
Filed under: uncultured prokaryote
Description: bacterial SSU rRNA
Rfam family: Archaeal small subunit ribosomal RNA
Source: RNAcentral
GCGAAAACUUUACAAUGCUGGCAACAGCGAUAAGGGAACCUCGAGUGCCAGGUUACAAAUCUGGCUGUCGAGAUGCCUAAAAAGCAUUUCAUAGCAAGGGCCGGGCAAGACCGGUGCCAGCCGCCGCGGUAACACCGGCGGCUCGAGUGGUAACCGUUAUUAUUGGGUCUAAAGGGUCUGUAGCCGGCCGGAUAAGUCUCUUGAGAAAUCGGGCAGCUUAACUGUCGGCUUUCAGGAGAUACUGUCUGGCUCGAGGCCGGGAGAGGUGAGAGGUACUUCAGGGGUAGGGGUGAAAUCUUGUAAUCCUUGAAGGACCACCAGUGGCGAAGGCGUCUCACCAGAACGGACCUGACGGCAAGGGACGAAAGCUAGGGGCACGAACC